GUCUUUUUGAUUAUAAUUUAAAGUCUGACCUGCCCAAUGAGGAGUUAAAUGGCCGCGGUAAUUUGACCGUGCAAAGGUAGCAUAAUCAUUAGUUUUUUAAUUGAAAGCUGGAAUGAAUGGUUGGACGAGAAAAUAGCUGUCUCAAUUUAAUUGUAUAUAGAAUUUUAUUUAUAAGUAAAAAAGCUUAUAUAAGUUUAAAAGACGAGAAGACCCUAUAGAAAUUUAAUAUUUAAGUUUAUAGUUAUUUUUUAGGCUAAAUAAGUAUUUAUUUAUUUAAGUAUUUUGUUGGGGUGACAGAAAAAUUAGAUUAACUUUUUUUAUUAUAAUAACAUAAAUUAAUGAUUAAAUGAUCCGUUUAUUACGAUUACAAGAUUAAAUUACCUUAGGGAUAACAGCGUAAUUUUUUUUUAGAGUUCUAAUCGAAAAAAGAGUUUGCGACCUCGAUGUUGGAUUAAAAUUAACUUUUGGUGUAGGAGCUAAAAGGUUAGGUCUGUUCGACCUUUAAAAUUUU
RNAcentral lists this ribosomal RNA (511 nucleotides) under Cyclocephala sp. JMR-2012. RNAcentral's name for it is "partial 16S ribosomal RNA". It matches the Rfam family "Bacterial large subunit ribosomal RNA", at positions 1819 to 2597 of the family's 2925-position model. The record is from RNAcentral. Lineage: Eukaryota; Metazoa; Arthropoda; Insecta; Coleoptera; Scarabaeidae.